This 142-nucleotide ribosomal RNA is filed under the name uncultured bacterium. RNAcentral describes it as "partial 16S rRNA". It matches the Rfam family "Bacterial small subunit ribosomal RNA", at positions 355 to 511 of the family's 1533-position model. The record is from RNAcentral.
UGGGGAAGUAUUGGACAAUGGGCGGAAAGCCUGAUCCAGCAAUGCCGCGUGUGUGAAGAAGGUCUUCGGAUUGUAAAGCACUUUCGACGGGGACGGAUGAUGACGGUACCCGUAGAAGAAGCCCCGGCUAACUUCGUGCCAG